Molecule: ribosomal RNA, 440 nt
Filed under: uncultured bacterium
Lineage: Bacteria
Description: partial 16S ribosomal RNA
Rfam family: Bacterial small subunit ribosomal RNA
Source: RNAcentral
CCUACGGGUGGCAGCAGUGGGGAAUAUUGCACAAUGGGGGAAACCCUGAUGCAGCGACGCCGCGUGAGUGAAGAAGUAAUUCGUUAUGUAAAGCUCUAUCAGCAGGGAAGAAAAUGACGGUACCUGAGUAAGAAGCCCCGGCUAACUACGUGCCAGCAGCCGCGGUAAUACGUAGGGGGCAAGCGUUAUCCGGAUUUACUGGGUGGAAAGGGAGCGUAGACGGCAGUGCAAGUAUGGAGUGAAAGGCGGGGGAGCAACCCCCGGACUGCUCUGGAAACUGUACGGCUGGAGUGCAGGAGAGGUAAGUGGAAUUCCUAGUGUAGCGGUGAAAUGCGUAGAUAUUAGGAGGAACACCAGUGGCGAAGGCGGCUUACUGGACUGUAACUGACGUUGAGGCUCGAAAGCGUGGGGAGCAAACAGGAUUAGAUACCCCGGUAGUC